CCUACGGGGGGCUGCAGUAAGGAAUAUUGGUCAAUGGACGAAAGUCUGAACCAGCCAUCCCGCGUGCAGGAUGAAAGCCCUAUGGGUUGUAAACUGCUUUUAGCAGAGAAGAAAAGCUUCCAUUUAUGGGGGUCUGACGGUAUCUGCAGAAUAAGCACCGGCUAACUCCGUGCCAGCAGCCGCGGUACUACGGAGGGUGCGAGCGUUAUCCGGAAUUACUGGGUUUAAAGGGUGCGUAGGCGGAGUAUUAUGAAAUCUUGUCGCUUAACGAGAAAAUUGCCAAUGAUACUGGUACUCGUGAAUUGGGUUGGGGUGAGCGGAAUGUGACAUGUGCGGUGAAAUGCAUAGAUAUGUCAUGGAACACCAAUUGCGAAGGCAGCUAACUGGGCCUUGAUUGACGCUGAGGCACGAAAGCGUGGGUAGCGAACAGGAUUAGAUACCCUAGUAGUC
RNAcentral lists this ribosomal RNA (450 nucleotides) under uncultured bacterium. RNAcentral describes it as "partial 16S ribosomal RNA". It matches the Rfam family "Bacterial small subunit ribosomal RNA", at positions 338 to 795 of the family's 1533-position model. The record is from RNAcentral.